Molecule: ribosomal RNA, 876 nt
Filed under: uncultured Dechloromonas sp.
Lineage: Bacteria; Pseudomonadati; Pseudomonadota; Betaproteobacteria; Rhodocyclales; Azonexaceae
Description: bacterial SSU rRNA
Rfam family: Bacterial small subunit ribosomal RNA
Source: RNAcentral
CGGGAGGCAGCAGUGGGCAAUUUGGACAAUGGGCGCAAGCCUGAUCCAGCCAUGCCGCGUGAGUGAAGAAGGCCUUCGGGUUGUAAAGCUCUUUCGGCCGGGAAGAAAUCGCAUUGGUUAAUACCUGGUGUGGAUGACGGUACCGGAAUAAGAAGCACCGGCUAACUACGUGCCAGCAGCCGCGGUAAUACGUAGGGUGCGAGCGUUAAUCGGAAUGUAUCUGGGCCUAAAGCGUGCGCAGGCGGUUUUGUAAGACAGGCGUGAAAUCCCCGGGCUCAACCUGGGAACUGCGCUUGUGACUGCAAGGCUAGAGUACGGCAGAGGGGGGUGGAAUUCCACGCGUAGCAGUGAAAUGCGUAGAGAUGUGGAGGAACACCAAUGGCGAAGGCAGCCCCCUGGGUCGAUACUGACGCUCAUGCACGAAAGCGUGGGUAGCAAACAGGAUUAGAUACCCUGGUAGUCCACGCCCUAAACGAUGUCAACUAGGUGUUGGGAGGGUAAAACCUUUUAGUACCGGAGCUAACGCGUGAAGUUGACCGCCUGGGGAGUACGGGCCGCAAGGUUAAAACUCAAAGGAAUUGACGGGGACCCCGCCACAAGCGGUGGAUGAUGUGGAUUAAUUCGAUGCAACGCGAAAAACCUUACCUACCCUUGACAUGUCAGGAAGUCUUGAGAGAUUGAGAUGUGCCCGAAAGGGAACCUGAACACAGGUGCUGCAUGCUGUCGUCAGCUCGUGUCGUGAGAUGUUGGGUUAAGUCCCCGCCACGAGCGCACCCUUGUCGUUAAUUGCCAUCCUUUAGUUGGGCACUUAGCGAGACUGCCCGGUGACCAACCGAGGAAGGGGGGAUGACGUCAAGUCCUCCUGGCCCCUUAUGG